This 107-nucleotide small nuclear RNA is filed under the name Piliocolobus tephrosceles (Ugandan red Colobus). Lineage: Eukaryota; Metazoa; Chordata; Mammalia; Primates; Cercopithecidae. The record is from RNAcentral.
GUGCUCGCUUCAGCAGCCCAUAUACUAAAAUUGAAACGAUACAGAGAAGAUUAGCAUGGCCCCUGCUCAAGGAUGACACGCAAAUUCAUGAAGCAUUCCAUAUUUUU